RNAcentral lists this transfer RNA (71 nucleotides) under Stegodyphus mimosarum. It matches the Rfam family "tRNA". Rfam says of the family: Transfer RNA (tRNA) molecules are approximately 80 nucleotides in length. Their secondary structure includes four short double-helical elements and three loops (D, anti-codon, and T loops). The record is from Rfam by way of RNAcentral. Lineage: Eukaryota; Metazoa; Arthropoda; Arachnida; Araneae; Eresidae.
GACUUCGUGGUAUAACGGUAGCACACUCGGAUUGUAUUCGAGAGGUCUGGGUUUGAGUCUCGGCGUGGGCA